AAAAAAAAACAACUAACUUUAUUAGCUUUAAAAACAAAACUGUUACCAUUAAUCACAAAGAUUUCCCCCAAAAUUGCAUUCUGCUUUUGUCACCUUGACAAGGAAUGUUUAAAUGUCCUCAAAAUACAGAAGAGCUGAAGUUGACAAAUAACACAGUACUACACACUAUGAAUCGCCACUGUAAGCACACUAAAAUGUGGAAUACACACCUGUGAAUUAUCGGCCAGUUUUUGGAAGUACAGUAAUAUCCACUACAGAUGAUAGUAGCAGAAAGGUAAUGUCCCCCAAAAUGUAACAGAAGGUCGGACAUUUGCAGAUAAAAUAAUAAAUCUGACUCCUGGGUUCAGUUAACACAGAAGUGAAAUGGUGGAGAAACA
RNAcentral lists this long non-coding RNA (377 nucleotides) under Bos taurus (domestic cattle). Its description in RNAcentral is "long non-coding RNA NONBTAT011970". The record is from RNAcentral. Lineage: Eukaryota; Metazoa; Chordata; Mammalia; Artiodactyla; Bovidae.